GAUGAACGCUGGCGGCGUGCCUAAUACAUGCAAGUCGAGCGAACGGACGAGAAGCUUGCUUCUCUGAUGUUAGCGGCGGACGGGUGAGUAACACGUGGAUAGCCUACCUAUAAGACUGGGAUAACUUCGGGAAACCGUAGCUAAUACCGGAUAAUAUUUUGAACCGCAUGGUUCAAAAGUGAAAGACGGUCUUGCUGUCACUUAUAGAUGGAUCCGCGCUGCAUUAGCUAGUUGGUAAGGUAACGGCUUACCAAGGCAACGAUGCAUAGCCGACCUGAGAGGGUGAUCGGCCACACUGGAACUGAGACACGGUCCAGACUCCUACGGGAGGCAGCAGUAGGGAAUCUUCCGCAAUGGGCGAAAGCCUGACGGAGCAACGCCGCGUGAGUGAUGAAGGUCUUCGGAUCGUAAAACUCUGUUAUUAGGGAAGAACAUAUGUGUAAGUAACUGUGCACAUCUUGACGGUACCUAAUCGGAAAGCCACGGCUAACUACGUG
RNAcentral lists this ribosomal RNA (497 nucleotides) under uncultured bacterium. RNAcentral's name for it is "partial 16S ribosomal RNA". It matches the Rfam family "Bacterial small subunit ribosomal RNA", at positions 28 to 507 of the family's 1533-position model. The record is from RNAcentral.